Clupea harengus (Atlantic herring) is the source of this 401-nucleotide long non-coding RNA. The record is from Ensembl. NCBI's taxonomy places the organism in Eukaryota, Metazoa, Chordata, Actinopteri, Clupeiformes, Clupeidae.
AGGGACAACCACUACAACUUCUGCAACCACAAUGACACCUGAACUCACAACUCAUACAAGCCAAGUGAGGAGCAAGCAGAUUGUGAGAGUGGAGUUCCAAGUUAACUCCAGCCUGCCCCUUAGCAAUGCUGAAUUUCAGGAGAGGCUCAUGGAUCAGAUCAGAAGGAAACUGCAGGAGAAGGGGCUGCCGGCGGACGCUAAACUGACCUGGAAAAAGCAGCCUGAUGAACAGAUUUUCCACAAGAAGAAUGAGAAGAAGGAGAAAAAAGAGAGGAGGAGGAAGAGGAAGAGCAAAGAUGAGUUUUGAAGCUCAAUAAAUGUCAGAGAGCAGGAGAGUGAGAAAGAUCAGAGAGGAGAGGAGAAACUGUAUAUAUUGAAAUGCGACUUAAUUCUUGUGUGGC